RNAcentral lists this antisense RNA (70 nucleotides) under Shewanella fodinae. RNAcentral describes it as "RNA-OUT". It matches the Rfam family "RNA-OUT". Rfam says of the family: Transposition of insertion sequence IS10 is regulated by an anti-sense RNA which inhibits transposase expression when IS10 is present in multiple copies per cell. The anti-sense RNA (RNA-OUT) consists of a stem domain topped by a flexibly paired loop; the 5' end of the target molecule, RNA-IN, is complementary to the top of the loop, and complementarity extends for 35 base-pairs down one side of RNA-OUT. The record is from Rfam by way of RNAcentral. Lineage: Bacteria; Pseudomonadati; Pseudomonadota; Gammaproteobacteria; Alteromonadales; Shewanellaceae.
UCACGCAUGGUGUUGGAUCUGGUAGUUUUUUGGCGAAAUCAAUUAGAUCAAUCAACACCAUGCGUGUCUA